UCACCCGUCUACUCCGGAGGAGAUAUAAGUAUUUGUACCGCGUAGUACGUAGGUUCGAAUCCUACGCGAGACGU
Molecule: transfer RNA, 74 nt
Filed under: Pyrrosia subfurfuracea
Lineage: Eukaryota; Viridiplantae; Streptophyta; Polypodiopsida; Polypodiales; Polypodiaceae
Also listed under: 1 other name
Description: tRNA-Thr
Source: RNAcentral